This 399-nucleotide ribosomal RNA is filed under the name uncultured bacterium. RNAcentral describes it as "bacterial SSU rRNA". It matches the Rfam family "Bacterial small subunit ribosomal RNA", at positions 28 to 430 of the family's 1533-position model. The record is from RNAcentral.
GACGAACGCUGGCGGCGUGCUUAACACAUGCAAGUCGAGCGGUAAGGCCCUUUCGGGGUACGACGAGCGGCGAACGGGUGAGUAACACGUGGGUGACCUGCCCUCCAGCUCUGGGAUAAGACCUGGGAAACCGGGUCUAAUACUGGAUAUGACUCCAUGACGCAUGUUGUGGGGUGGAAAGCCUUGUGCGGCUGAGGAUGGGCCCGCGGCCUAUCAGCUUGUUGGUGGGGUGAUGGCCUACCAAGGCGACGACGGGUAGCCGGCCUGAGAGGGCGACCGGCCACACUGGGACUGAGACACGGCCCAGACUCCUACGGGAGGGCAGCAGUGGGGAAUCUUGCGCAAUGGGCGAAAGCCUGACGCAGCGACGCCGCGUGAGGGAUGACGGCCUGUGUAACU